CCUACGGGUGGCAGCAGUGAGGAAUAUUGGUCAAUGGACGAGAGUCUGAACCAGCCAAGUAGCGUGAAGGAUGACUGCCCUAUGGGUUGUAAACUUCUUUUAUAUGGGAAUAAAACGUUCCACGUGUGGGAUUUUGUAUGUACCAUAUGAAUAAGGAUCGGCUAACUCCGUGCCAGCAGCCGCGGUAAUACGGAGGAUCCGAGCGUUAUCCGGCUUUAUUGGGUUUAAAGGGAGCGUAGGUGGAUUGUUAAGUCAGUUGUGAAAGUUUGCGGCUCAACCGUAAAAUUGCAGUUGAAACUGGCAGUCUUGAGUACAGUAGAGGUGGGCGGAAUUCGUGGUGUAGCGGUGAAAUGCUUAGAUAUCACGAAGAACUCCGAUUGCGAAGGCAGUUCACUGGACUGCAACUGACACUGAGGCUCGAAAGUGUGGGUAUCAAACAGGAUUAGAUACCCUUGUAGUC
Molecule: ribosomal RNA, 460 nt
Filed under: uncultured bacterium
Lineage: Bacteria
Description: partial 16S ribosomal RNA
Rfam family: Bacterial small subunit ribosomal RNA
Source: RNAcentral